AGUGACGAGAAAUAACAAACCCGUGCUCUCUGAGCUCGGGUAUUGGAAUGGACGGAAUCUAAACAAUUCCGUGAGUAUCAACGACAGGGCAAGUCUGGUGCCAGCAGCCGCGGUAAUUCCAGCUGUCGUAAUAUAUAGAAUUAUUGUUGCGGUUAAAAAGUUCGUAGUUGGAUUUUCUACUGUUCGUGGGUGAUGCUUAACGGCGUUUACUCUCGGCAGUUUUUGUGUUCUAAUCGGACUUGUUCGAUUUGAAUGCGGAUUACUUUGAACGGCUUAAGUGCUCAAGGCGGGUCUUCGGACCGAAUACCGGUGCAUGGAAUAAUGGAAUAAGGUUUCGGCCGAGUUUUAUUGGUUUUGUCGGCUAAAACAAUGGUUAACAGGAACAGCUGGGGGCACUCGUAUCGCUGCGCGAGAGGUGAAAUUCGUGGACCGCAGCGAGACGCACUAAAGCGAAGGCAUUUGCCAAGAGUGUUUUCAUUAAUCAAGAACGAAAGUCAGAGGUUCGAAGGCGAUUAGAUACCGCCCUAGUUCUGACCGUAAACGAUGCCAACUAUCAAUCAGCGAGUGGCUUUUAGUCAUUGGCUGGCGGAUCGACGGAAACGAAAGUCUUUCGGUUCCGGGGGAAGUAUGGUUGCAAAGCUGAAACUUAAAGGAAUUGACGGAAGGGCACCACCAGGAGUGGAGCUUGCGGCUUAAUUUGACUCAACACGGGAAACCUCACCCGGCCAGUACAUCAUAAGGAUUGACAGAUUGAAAGCUCUUUCAUGAUUUGAUGAAUGGUGGUGCAUGGCCGUUCUUAGUUCGUGGCGUGAGUCGUCUGCUUAAUUGCGAUAACGAGCGAGACUCCGAUUGCUAAAUACGAA
Molecule: ribosomal RNA, 863 nt
Filed under: Aphelenchoides hamospiculatus
Lineage: Eukaryota; Metazoa; Nematoda; Chromadorea; Rhabditida; Aphelenchoididae
Description: SSU rRNA
Rfam family: Eukaryotic small subunit ribosomal RNA
Source: RNAcentral